AGCAAUGCAAGGUUGUUGUCGCAACCCUUGAGCAAUUAAACGAACUUGAAACAAACCGUUAAUCUUCUUUCUAACCUGGUAUACCGAGUGGCAACCAACAAUAUUAGCUCCUGGUGGUGACAAGACAAGCUGUAAAGUGCUAUUGGAAAGAAGAUCACCAAGCUUGAUUUUUCCAUGGCUUGCCUCCAUUGAGGGUUUUUAAUAGCUUGAGAAAUAGGAUUUGGGUCUAUCAAGUAAAUUAGAGGAGGUAGCAAUAGCAAGAAAACUAUCCUUGACUUUUGUUUAAGAUAUCCCAUGUAGUUUCAAAUGAGCCUGGAUGAGGAUCCACGACCAGAGAAUAGGAAGAAUGAUUAGUUGUCAUAGAAACUAGUGGAGGGAGGGGCAGUUUUUGUAUUGCAGUAAAAGUAGGAGACAAUAGUUUUUAGUUGAGACAAAUAACAUAGGUAAAGAGGAACAAGAAUUAGAGGACAUAUCUUGCAAUACUAUGGUUGUAGCAAAUAAUCAUAAACGUCAAAUAGCCUCAGGGAAAGAAGAGGUCUUGGAGGUAAUUGAUGAGCCAGUGGUGAGGACGAGAAUGGAA
RNAcentral lists this long non-coding RNA (580 nucleotides) under Carica papaya (papaya). RNAcentral describes it as "long non-coding RNA (CPAP_LNC000634)". The record is from RNAcentral. Lineage: Eukaryota; Viridiplantae; Streptophyta; Magnoliopsida; Brassicales; Caricaceae.